CUUGGAGGCAUGAGGUUAUGGAGGCUGGGAAGUCCAGGAUUGAAGGGGUGCAUCUGGUGAGAGCCUUCUUGCUGGGGGGGAUUGUCUGCAGCGUCCCAACGUGGCACAGGACGUCACACGCCCCUUUCUGCCUAAAAAGCCAACUUCCUGUGCUCAACUCACCGGAGUGCCUUUCUGUUUCAUCGAUGGGAUGCUGCCUCAUUCAGGAAUGCUACAGGUCAGGCACGGACCCGGCGUCCCUCUGCACCUGUCUUUCAAACCCUGGCCACACUGACUGAUCGAUCUAAUUACCGGUUAUGCCAACACCUAGAUCACGCAAAGGAAUCUGAAUCCAUUCUUGUUUCUGCCAAUGUGAGUGCCUGGUGGAACCAGUCUGGAAUAUGGAUGUGUGACAGGUGGCAUCCACAACUAGAGAAGAAACAGCAUGCUGCUUCUCCUGUUGGUGAGUCAACUGGACACAGAAGAACCUCUGGAAGCUCAAGAACUAUCUUUUGCUCAGCCUGGCAGGGACACAUGGACACUGGGGAUGUGGAAGUGCCAGUGAGGAAGAAGAGGCACGGCAAACUCCAGACCGGGAGGUGACAGGUUCCAACCUGACCCUAUCUGUAAAUUACACUGGUCUUCUUAUUGUGUGUGGCAAUGAAAUAUACAAGUGGUUCCCACCUAGGUGGUCCGGACACUGUGGACUUAGUUUCUGACACCCUCUGUUACUAGGUACUCUACUGUAAACGCCAGCCAAACUACAUGCGUGGGCUCUUUUGUUCAUAAAGUGGUACCAAGCAAAUGUACUAGAUGUGGUAUUAUAAAAAACCGUCUUAUAUAUCACAAUUCUAAGUUUUAUUUUCAUUUUUAUUUUUUUAAGGGGUGGGGGGUU
RNA transcript from Lemur catta (Ring-tailed lemur), 874 nucleotides. It is a transcript of the gene named endogenous retrovirus group MER34 member 1, envelope, with no coding region annotated. NCBI's taxonomy places the organism in Eukaryota, Metazoa, Chordata, Mammalia, Primates, Lemuridae. The record is from RefSeq and is a predicted model, not a curated record. The transcript is spliced from 5 exons.